ACUGAUUGGCCGAAAAACCCGAAACGCAUUGGUCGUAUUUUGAAUUAGCUAAAUUUAAAUUAUCAACUCGUAUCUCACGGAUUAAAUAUACCGAGUAUAUUUAAUCGAUAGUCGCGUUAUGUACAAACACUAUAAUAUUAUAUUAAAUUAUGCACGUAUGCCGUACAAGUAUAUAACGGAACGAAAAUAAAUGUUGAAAAAUGCGAAAAAAAAAGGCGAAAUAAAAGUUCCACCUUUGAAGUCUCUGUUACGCGAGUCAAAUUAUUAUGUACGCCGA
This is a non-coding RNA of Cinara cedri, 277 nucleotides long. Lineage: Eukaryota; Metazoa; Arthropoda; Insecta; Hemiptera; Aphididae. The record is from the annotation of a GenBank genome assembly.